CUCUGCGAUCAGUUUCUUUCCCUUCGUUCGUGGAUCGUUCGUGGCUUCGAUUGUCCGUUUUAUUACAUACGAAACGUUGGAUAUAUUUGAAAAUUAGUUAAAAAAAUAUUCUUUUCGAAGUUUUCGUUUUUAUUCCUCUGUGUUCUUUUGGAAAUGCGUGGAGAGAUAGCUGAGAAAAGAAAGUGAAGGAAAAUUUCGUAACGUAACCUAAUCUAAAAGAAUGAUAAUACGAUGAACGCGUCGUUCGAAAUAAAAUUUUCUAAAUGCAAAAAGUUAUUUUCCAAAGAUAUAAAAUGCUUGAAUAUCGAACAAUCAUUUCACGUGACAAGAUCUCGAAUAUUAUCCAAACGUGUGUAUCGUCAACGAGAUACAUUUUUCCACGAAGAAUUUUUAUGAAGAAGGAAGAAUGGGGGAUUUUCACGGGACGAAAGAGCUCUUUUUUCGUUCGGUUACGCCACUGAUUGCGUCACGAGACCAUUUCGUCCCUUUCAUCUUCACUCCACGUUCGUUGACGUCGUUGUGUCUGGACGAGUCCUCUCGACCUCCUCGACAGUUGGUCUUUCAGGUUCACAGGCGGGAACUAAGCACAGAUUCACGACAUUUCCGCGGCAUAAUUUUCUCUUCCAUACACACCUUAAAUCCGCGCCGUAUUUCUCUUCCUCGCCGUCUCUCUAUUUUUUCCCUUUCCUUUUUUUUUUUUUUUUUUCGAUAUUUUUAAUCCACGAACCGCAUAUAGGUCGGUCGGCUUUUCGGCCUGUUGCACACGUCAAUUGAUAGCGUUGUCGUCGUCGACAAAUCUAUUAUUCGAAAGUGGUGCAAAAGACAAGCGAUACGAUUUGACAAUAUUUUUUUCAAUUCGGAAAAGACGAAUGGACGAGUGUCGAGGAUUAAUAGAAAGGUAAAUGUUUAUUCAAAUAUUUAAUCCCGUCAGUUCGAGCUUGAGUUUCGAAUCGGAAAUAAAUUUCAUUCGUCAAUUUUUGCGAUUUUUCCGACAAUUGAUAAUUCCUUUACGAGUAAAAUUUUCUAAAAUUUUGUGUAAUUAUGCGAUUUUUCACGAUUAACAGAUUGUAAAUUAUCUCGAGAUGUAUCGAUAUUUUAAUAUUUAAUAUAAUUAAAUUAUAAAACUGAAUUACUGUACAAAUAAAAUUAGUUACAUUCAUUAUAACGAAAAAGUUCAAUUUUAUCUUUAUUCUCAACAUAAAAUACACAUGUAAGAAGGAAAUACAUAUCAAGUAUAAAUUAUAAAUAAAUAGGUAGAAUUAAAAUAUUAAAUACUAUCAUUUUUUUUCUAUCCAUUGAAGUAAAAAUAAAAAUCACAGCAGGAAAACUUAACUCUACUUCUAUUCUAUUUUUAUUUUUUACGUCAUUUGCUUAAUAAAAUAGAGGGGAAAAAAAUGCAUUUCAGAAAUCGCAAAUUAUAAUUAUUAUUUUAAAAAUAAGAUAAUAUUUUUCAUAUAAGUUUUCAUACGAAUCAUCAUUUCCAAUAAAUUUCUUUCUUAUUUUUAUCUUAGCAAUCUUUAUUCCUUUUUUUCUUUUUUAUUUUGCUCUUGUUUCAAAACUUUUGUUUCAAAAUUUUUAUUUUAAAAAUAAUCGAGGAUAAAAAAUUGCGAAUAAAAGAACAAAAAAUACGUAAAGCGAAAUCCAUCCUACGGUUUUUCACUUUUCUUCCCGUUUUUCGUAUCUCUUUCGCUCGAUGAAAUAUUCUUCUCCCCCUCCCCUCCUCCCCAAUCUAUCGAUGAUCCACAUUUUAUUUUUAGCCCUCGAAGAAUACUGACGCGAUAAAUUUGCUUUAUCCUUAAGGAUUUUUCUCAUUCAUCGAAAUAUCACGCAUUAAAAUUAAAAUAAAUUAAUCGUUUAAGAAUAUAUUUGUAUUAAAUGUGCAAAUAAGCUGCUCUUCCUUUUUUUCCUCGAUUAGCUUCGAAUUACUUCUGCAUUCGGACGAUUAUGCAGAUAUACUUCCUCCAGAAAAAUAUUAAAAAUAUUAGAAUAUUUAGAAAGGUACCUUUAAAAAAUAUCCCAAAAAGAAUAUAUUAUGGUAGUGAAAGUUCUGCUAAGGUAGCAAAAAAUAAUCUGAUACGUAUUUCAAACAGGAACAGUGAAAAUAGUGAUUUUACUUCGUCUACGAAAACGUAAGCGACUGAAGACGAUAAGAUGAACGCUCAGCCAAACCGUGAGACGUGUGAUCGACAUUCCUGUUGCUUGUGACGCGCUAUUGCAACAUCGUAAUUAGCUGUGCAAACAAGUUCCUUUUUCCACGAUCGUAAUUCGAUUACUUCCCGUUCGUGGCGCCACCUGAAACAGCGUUCUUUCGUUUUUAAGAAGAGUUUAAGAAUCCCCAACGCUGUGCGACGAUUUCAUGCGGUACGACGUGCGAGAAGCAUCUGCAUUCUAGCUUUGGAAAUGGUGCCCUGAUUUAUGCGAUAAAAUCUUGAAUUUGGAGAAAGAAAAGGGAGAAGAGAAGAACUUAUUUGCACGUUUAUUCAGUAUUUUCUUUUAUAUUAUAUUAGAACCAAAUACGAAAUAGAAAGAUACACGUCGGUAAUAACUCCUCUCUUUCUCACUCACCGCUUAUCUGGAUUCCCAAACUUUUUUCGUUUACGAUUCGUUUAAUUCGCAGCUACUACUAUUACUCUCCAACACGGAAUAAAAGGUGAGGCUGCUUUUAUCCAAUUGCAAAAGCGUGAUAGUUUUAUCACCGGGAUGAAAUUAUGCUCUCUUCCCUCUCCCUCUUUUUUCCCUUCCCGUUACGUUUCCAACCCUUGUUCCGGAAUCCUUCUGGAAUUCCCUUAGUAUCCAGGUUAUAAAGGUUAAUCCGAGGGAAAGGGAAAGGGAGCGUGAAAAGGAGUUUUUCGUUGUGAGAAAAGCGAGGAAAGUUGAUUGGCCGCCACGCACGAAGUAACUUAAUUGUGAGUUGUUUCGGUAACAAGAGGAGGGGGAUGGAUGAGAAUCCCGGCGGAGAGAUCAAUUUUAACGAGGGAAAAGAUUCGAAAUUUCGAGGAUUUCAAGAGCGGAGUAUCGAAAAGAUGUAUAUUUUAAGAUCCCUCAAGUCGGAAAUCAUUUGGCGCGAUAGAAAAGAAUUUUGGUUUAUAAAAAUUAUGUAAAUGUGAUUAUUUUUUUGUUUUGGAUAUUUUAUAUAUUUUUUUCUCAUAAAUGUUUUAAUAAUUUUAUUAGCUCGAAAGGUAUAAAAGAUGUAUCGAAUAAUUUUCAUUUUUAAAAUUUACUUGACGAGAGCUUGAAUUAAAAAUUGUGGAUCAAAGAAAAAAAAAAUGACGAAUCGUAAAUUUGGCUCGAAACACAUAAAGCAAGAAGUUUGUCGUUUCCUUUCUCACGUAUCCAAAGCUAGAAAUCAUUUUUAUCGCAUUGCAUUAUGUAUACACGAUGCGUCAUUAAUAACAGGACUCGAUUAAGAAAUUUUUCCAAAGAAAUCGCAGAAAAGCUCGAUUCCCUGGAUUUUAAAAUACGUUCAGAUAGAAACCAAGAUUCUGAUCUGGCAAAAUAUCAGCAUGUAUCUCACUAUGAUUUAUCAACUGUUUCUACAAACGCAUCAUUAACAUCCGAAAUAUACGAGCGAAUAAACGCCAUGCUUACUGUCACAAGCGCAACAAUUUCAAGAACCUUGUUGUUCAAAUUCACAUUCUAUUCUAAACAUAAAAAAAUUCCAAGAAGAAGAAUUAUCCAAAAUCGAUCGAAGACUCGCGAAAAAUUGAUAUGCAUCGAGCGCGAUAAAUGCGUUUUAUUAUUCGUUCUAAAAUAUAAAAAAAUUCCAAGAAGAAAAAUUAUCCAAAAUCGAUCGAGGACUCGCGAAAAAUUGAUAUGCAUCGAGCACGAUAAACGCGUUCUAUUAUUCGUUCCUAGAAGAAUUAUCCAAAAUCGAUAUCGUAUAAUGAAAACCAAAAAGCUUUGUUUUUCCACGCAACUCGACCGCGGCGAUCGUCGAUCAACGACUCUUCCUUUUCCUCCCUUCUUUAUCCACUGAUCAACUCGUGGUCUUACUCGAGCGCACGAGAGACAGACAGACAGAGAGAGAGAGAGAAAGAGAGAGAGAUAGAGAAGGGGAAUGGAAGCAAAUAAGCGCGUGUACCAGCCGAUGACCUACUAUUGACGCUUUGUGGGCUCUGUUUUCAAGCCUAUGUCCCGGCACAAUGGAAAGUAUAGCAACUCAAGACUGGCCUGAAAGGAGGUAACAAAAAAAAAAAGAAAAAAAAAGAAAGAAAGAAGACAGGGAAGGAGGAGAGGGGGGAAAAUAGAGACAGAACGGCAAGAGAAGAAAGAAAAGGAGGGACACGACGGUAAGGUUCUUUCUUCCACGACGAAAAAACUGUGUCGUCCAUUGUCGACCGGUGGAACCCAUCGUGGAACAAUCGCGAUAAUGAGAAAGCUACGCAGCCGAAGAGUUUCGCUGCUUUUCUCUCUUCACUCUCUCUCUCUCUCUCUCUCUCUCUCUCUCUCUCUCUCUCUCUUCGCCGUGUAACAGCCUUCCUCCGCAUUUUUUUUUCCUUCUUCAUAUCCUCCAACCUCUCACCCCCUAGUCUCCCCCCACGGAAUUGCUGGGUUUCCUUUUGUCUUCUUGGCCUGUGAUUUUCAUCGUCGUCGACUUUGGCACCGAUUACUUUUAUACGAAAAAUCGAACGGGGUCUAAGAGAGAUUUUCUUUAUCGAUCGAUCUUGAUUUCUUGACUCGGAGAAGAAGAAGAGUGGUAUGGAUUACGUUCGAAUUAAUCCAUUAAAUUCUUUUGGAUAAGAUCGCGCGUUGGUCGUUUUAGAGUCGGUCUCCUGUUUGAAGAAAACGGUGUGCAUGCGGAUUCUUUGGAUAAUAGAUUGUUCAAAUACAGAUGUUUAUUAAAAGAUUAUAGUGAUGUUAAAUACGUAUAAUAUUAUAUAGUUUAUUUCGAAUAAUUAAAUCGUUUAUAUUUUAAUUCGUUUUUUUUUUUUACAUAUAUAAAUUUACUGAUAUUUCAUAGUAUUAGAAUUACAAUUUAGAAUAUUUGUUAAUUUUGAUUUAAUAAUAAAAAGAAAAGCUUGUACUUUGGAAAGGUAUUGAUUAAUAAAAAAAGAAAAUUUUGUAUAUCUUUCCUUCGUCAAAGUAAUCUUUAAAGAAUUUAACAAAAUGUGUAAUUUAGUUUCUUAAAAAUCGUUUCGAUUUCAAAUCAGUCGUUUUAUUAUUAAGAUUAAAGAAAGUCUUCUAAUGCUAAAAAUUCUAAAGGGGAAUAGAGAAAGUGGUUAAAUAGAGAAAUUCUUUUUUUAUAUAAAAGCGUUAUUAAUAAUUACGCGUGUCGAUGCAAUUGUCGCCAUCUCGAAUAAACACGUAAAUAAUAGUAUUUAUUAAGUAAUAACAGUAUUUAGGUAAACGAGGAAUUUCAUUGCAUUUUCCACUCUUGCAAUCCUCUUGGUUUGCGUCAGCAAACUUUCUUUGAUCUUAUAAUUAAAAUUGAAAUUGAAGGAUAAAAAAAAAAAAUUCUAACGCGAGUCAAAUAUUCAACAAACUGUGCGACAACUUGGAUACAAUUCGAAACAAUUUUUAUAAUAUACUCUCUUAAAUAAAAAAAAAAAAAUUGAAAUCUUACAUAUUGUAUUAUUUAAAAUUUUUAUCAAUCUUAUUUACUCUUCUGUCACGCGAUAUAAUUAAUAUUAUUAAUAUUUAUUUCUAGCAAUUUAAUGUAUUUUCGUGAUGCACUCAUUCAAAAUCGUAAAAAUAUGAAUAAUUUUUGACACAUCCCUUGGCAGAUAUAAAACUUAAAAUUGUUUCAUCGAUAAUCAAAAAUUCUUAUUGUUCAUUUUCACAUAUAUGAAUAUCAUGUAAAAUUUAUUCUCUGGGAAAAAUAAUUUUUUCGUUAUUCGUUAUUCCUCCAUAUAUCGGGCAUUUUGAAAUAUAUCGGUGGACAAGGACAGCGAAUAUAGAAUAUUUCAAGAUGCAGCACACUAUAGAGUGAAUCUUGGUCAAAGAAUAGACGACUUGGCCAAGUUACUGCUCCGUCCCUUAUAGGUACCACAUGUUUGAAAAGUCAAACAACACAACACGCAAAACCUGUAUGUAUAUCACGUAUAUACAUAAUGUCUCGUUUCAGUUAUUCCAACUUGAUGUUGAAAUAAUUUUGUUCGGAAUUUUACUUCGAGGAUUGAUUGACAUUAUAGAAUAUACUACAUAUAUUCUAAAAUGAAAGAAUAAAAUUAAAAGAAUCAAGAAUCACGAUAAAAAAGACGCUGAUUAUUCAAUCUAACAAUGAAUGAGAAAAUAUCAAAUGAGGAAAAUUAAAUUUAUGAAUACGUUAUAAAAUAUAACGUGAUAUUAAAAUGGAAUAUAAUGGAAGACAAAACCGUUUGGACAAAGGAACUUUUGGACAGUGGAAUGUAUUAUAUAAGUUGUUACCAAAUAACAGUAAAUAGUUUCUUUUUAAGGGCACGUGAAAGUCAACUUUGUUUUUUUUUUCUUUUUUUAAAUAUCAGAUGAAUUAUUGUAUUUUAAAAAUCGUUGUUUUAAGGAUAACGAUUUACGAAAUGAUUUCUUUUAUGAAAAUUAUUGAUGAAAAAAUUAUUACAAACGAAUGUGCAAUUUGUAAUUAAUUUUCAAUUUCAAUAUUCUUAUAAUUUCUGUUUUUUUUUUUUUUUAAUAUAUUGUGGAAUUACCAAUGUAAUUACAGAUACUUUUCUACAAUCUAACCGCUUUCUAAUUUCUCAACUAUUUUUGAUUUCGUUUUAAUAAUUAAUACGAAACGCAUGCUUAUUUUUGAAUAUAAUACAUAUAUAAUAUGAAUAUAUUCAACUUUACUUUCAAAUUUAAUUUUAUUUUCAUUGUUUAAUUAGUGAUAGAAAGGCAUCUAUAUUUUCAUCAAGGUAUUUAUUUUUAUUGAAAAUAUAGUUAGCAUACGAUUUAAAUCAUAGAAUGUUUAGAUAUUAUACAAGUUUUGACUUAACAAAGAUACUCAGUGACAAAAUUGAUACACAUAUUAAAUGAUCUUUUCUGUAUUUAAUUUACAUAUAUAAAUAACUGUUUUAAAAUAAAACUAAUUAAAAUUAGAAGAAGAAGAAAGUGAAAAAAUUUUUGUCACCAGAAUAUUAUUAUAAUUCAAUUGCGAAUUAUUAAUUAAAAAAAAAAACAGUUAAUCAAGAAAAAAUUAAUUUAUUAUCUUUACUAUUUCAUUCAAAUUAAUAGAUAAGUUAUCUUUAACAGUAAUCUAAUUUAUACCUUUGCAUUACGCAAAACUAGCAUUUUAGCAUAUCCAUACUUCACGCAAAUUUUCUUCAAGUAAUCGAAAGAAGAAGAAGAAAAAAAAAAAAGAAAGAAAAUGAAAAACUGGAAGGAUCAACUAGGAACGCUGAAGGAUUAAAAUAAGAGCGACGAUCUAAAUAUAAUCUAAAUAUACGUAUGGGCAGCGAGUUUUCGCGCGGCAAGGAUUAUAUAAAACAGUUUCAAAAAGAAAGAUGGUGGAAUACAUCGAGCGACGAGCGAACGGAAGCCAGACGAUAGUUCUAAGUUCCAAGUUUAGCCAGAUGACGCGGUUUUAGCAAGGAGACACACAGGUCCGUUUCGUCUGGUAUGCCCGUUUCUAUAUAAUACUAAACAUAGCGUGGAGAGCGCGAUUCUCGUCUUUUUCUUGCCACCUUUCCUUUCCCUCUUUCUUCCUGCGUUUAACGCGAAAUCCACGAAAAAUCGAUACCUCUCCCAACUCGCUAGUUUAUGAAAAAGUAACAUAAAGAUUGUACUGUGUGUGUAUGUGUAUAUAUAUAUAUAUAUAUAGAUUCAAGUUAUCGCCACUUCCUCAAACGUCAGAAACACUCGUUUGGAAGCUCGGCUGUUCGAAACAGCGUCGACUCUGUAAAGUGUCCUACACAGAUAAGAAAAAAUAUGGAGGGGGAAAUCUCACGUGACCUAUGUUUGAUCUUCUUCGCGGAAAUAUAUGAAAAUAAUAUCCAGAAAUUUGUUAUAAAAUAGUUAUUUUUUUUCUUAUGUUUAUUUUUUUUUAGGAAGGGGGGGAGUAUCUAUGUAUCGUUUUUUAACACAUUGAUGAGUAAUUAUUUUUUAAUAAUUAUUUAAUGAAUGAUCGAAAAGAUUCGGUAUAUAAUAUUUGACAAGUUUAAUAUUCUAUUAAAAGUCAACGAGCGUAUUCGAAGCGUACUUCUAUUUAUUCUGUUUACAUUAUUUUCACUUUCUGCAUUAUUUGGCUCCGUUUCUCCACUUUUGAUUGCAUUCUCGUUAAAUAGUCGUUUUUUAUCCCUUAUUGUAAUUUUUUUAAAUCUUCUUAACGAAUAUUAUAUGUGCACAAUGAUAUAUAUAAACACACGUUCUAUUAUAAUUUUUAUAAUCGAAAAUAAUUGAAUUAAACAAUACCCAAUUAGUCACAAUUAGUUUUCAUCACGUUGUUACAAAUUUAUUUAAAUAUAAUUAAAACGUAUAUUUGUAUAUUUCGAUAAUUUGAAAAAUCGAAAAUUCUCGAAUUUUUAAAUCAAAUUUUGUUCGCGUUUCCUAUAACAAUUUUUGGAAAUAUUUUAUACAACGAGGAUAAUUUCAGAACACUGAAAUCUGGAUAUUUUUUUUAAUUUAAAAUUUUACGAAUUUUUAUUCACCUAAAAAAAGGGAAAAUUAUAUAACGAAACUUGAAGGAUUGAUUUCACCUACUUCACGAAAUGAUAUUCCAUUAAUGAAAAAAAAAAAUUGUUCCAUAAUUGAUGAUCCAUAAUUUCACAAUGUCUCAUAUAGAACGGAAUUAUCGUUGAUGAACAACGACAAGUUGAUUGACAACUUAUUAAUUGAAUGUAAAGUGUACGAAGGCUUCUGAGCGGUUGGCUCUUUAUGCUUAUGGAGCCAUAUGCACGAGUCCAAUAUCUAAAAAGGAAUCAAUUGUAAUGACACGAAGCAAACGGAAUAAUGGUCGAAACAAACAAGCAGGGAAUAGUUAAAAAAUUGUGGAAAGGGGGACGUGUAAAUAUCUCGCCACAAAGCUUUAAAAUCAUUAAAAAGAUUUCAUUGUUCGACGUCAUAUAAAGUUAAAGAAUAAACGGUUAAAGCUAUAAAUCAUCGAUUUAUAGCUGCAUAUAUUUAUAUACAAACGUCGAAUUUUUUGCAAAGUAUCUUCAACUCAUUAACUCGUCGUGAGAGAGGUUUGUGAAAAACCUGUAACAACUUUUAAAUGUUAAUAUAAUUUUUCUGUUUUUCAAAAAAAAAUUUGAUAUAUAUUUGAUAUAUAUGAGUAUUUGUGCUCACACAUUGUCGAGAUUGUAUAGAUAAAUAAAUGCAAAAAGAUAAGAAUAAUAAAAUAUUUAUUAUAAUAAAUAAAAAUCCAAGCAAAAAUAAAUGUGAAUAAUCAUAUAACAGAAUUAAAAACUGAUUCAAAUAUUUUUGCGAGUUUAUUUAUUUUUACUUUUUAAUUUAUUUCAAAUUCCAAUAAUAACUGCAUAUAAUGAUUGAAUAUUACGAUAUUUCUUAUAACACGAUUAAUUCGUUCUAUAUUUAAAUCAUAUUAAUCAAAAUUAAUACAAAAAGAAUGUGUUGGAAACACAAAUUUGUGCCAUUAUCUAAGUUUAUUAAAUUGUAACAUGUGCGAUUAUUAAAUAAAUCAUAUUAUAAGAAUGUAUUGUGUUAUUGGACAACUGUUGCAACUUUCACGAUCGACAAUAUGGUGUGUUUGAAAAAGAUUUGGCAAUUGGCAAUAAAUGCCAAUACACAUAUAUCUCUAUCUCCAAUAUAUUUCUAUCUCCUAUAUCAAUUUCAAUAACACAAACGAUUUGGCAACAGUGUAUCAUAGCAAUAUGCGAAUUGAAAAUGAAAAAUUGAUAUAUUAUACGAAUUUCACUUCGAUUAAAUUUGCUCUGUACUUUAAUUUAAAUCCACGUGAUUCAAAACUGAAAAAGCUAUCUCAAGAGUUGUCAUUUUGGAACAAUGAGUAACAAUCCAGAAGAGAUCGACCGACUGGAAUGAUAAAUUUCGACGGAAGUUUUUUCAGCAUUGUCACCAGGAUUGGGAACAAUGUGUUACGAUUGUAAAAAUUUCUCCAAAAGAACUAUUUCAAUGAAGAAUAAUAAUAUAUAUUUUUCAGAAAGAAAA
Apis cerana (Asiatic honeybee) is the source of this 10038-nucleotide long non-coding RNA. RefSeq lists it as uncharacterized. The record is from RefSeq and is a predicted model, not a curated record. Lineage: Eukaryota; Metazoa; Arthropoda; Insecta; Hymenoptera; Apidae.